UUAUGCAGAUGCUUGUGGAGAUCCGAGACAUGUUGAAGGAGCUGAAGGUCAUUCAAGCAUAGCCGCAGGACACAGCUCUUCCUGACAAGGCUACAACAGUUGAAGAACUUAAAAGUCUUGACGAGUCGCUGAACUCGGUGGAGGAAAGACAAAAACUGAUUCAACGCUUGGCAAUGGUAGACAGAGGAACGAGUAUGGAAACCAAUGUCAAAUAGGUCAUGGACAAGUUGAUGACGCAAGAAGUCCAGGCGGAGUUCAACUUAUGUGGAAGGGGACCUACAAAGAAGCUAGCUUUAUAUAAUGCUGUUUUAUAUGCGCAGUUUAUAGUCAUUAUUUGCACUGUUUAAAGAAUUCUAAAGAGUAAAUUUGUGACCUACAUU
This is a long non-coding RNA of Salarias fasciatus (jewelled blenny), 380 nucleotides long. RefSeq lists it as uncharacterized. The transcript has 3 exons. NCBI's taxonomy places the organism in Eukaryota, Metazoa, Chordata, Actinopteri, Blenniiformes, Blenniidae. The record is from RefSeq and is a predicted model, not a curated record.